This 314-nucleotide long non-coding RNA is filed under the name Gossypium barbadense (sea-island cotton). RNAcentral's name for it is "long non-coding RNA (GBAR_LNC012541)". Lineage: Eukaryota; Viridiplantae; Streptophyta; Magnoliopsida; Malvales; Malvaceae. The record is from RNAcentral.
UUUUUUUUAGAGUAUGUGUAUCUCUCUUAACAAUAUUAUUUCUAAAAUUUAAAUUCUAUUUUUCUUUUAAAAAUAUAAUGUAAGUUACAACUUCACCCAAUAUUUUAUCAUGAUUUAUGAGGGGUGUUAAAACUUAUCUUCUUUUCACCAAUGUAUGUAAAGCUACGAUACCCUUUCUCUUUUUAAGUAUUUAUAUCCGAUAUUUAAGUUGAACAUACACAUGUCGGACACGUAAAGGUGCACUUGUUUGAUGAAGGGCAAGACUCCCAAGACGUUGCUCCUAUUUUAGUUUUGCUUUUCCACCUUGUCUGCUA